GACGUAGGGCGCGAGCGUUGUCCGGAUGUAUUGGGGUUAAAGGGUGCGUAGGCGGCUUAUUAAGUCAGGGGUGAAAGACGGUGGCUCAACCAUCGCAGUGCCCUUGAUACUGAUGAGCUUGAAUACACUUGAGGUAGGCGGAAUGUAACAAGUAGCGGUGAAAUGCAUAGAUAUGUCACAGAACACCAAUUGCGAAGGCAGCUUACUAAGGUGCAAUUGACGCUGAGGCACGAAAGCGUGGUGAUCAAACAGG
RNAcentral lists this ribosomal RNA (253 nucleotides) under uncultured bacterium. RNAcentral's name for it is "partial 16S ribosomal RNA". It matches the Rfam family "Bacterial small subunit ribosomal RNA", at positions 524 to 776 of the family's 1533-position model. The record is from RNAcentral.